GUAAGGUGACGCUUGUGGAACGAGCGGCGGACGGGUGAGUAACACGUGGGCAACCUGCCUGUAAGAUUGGGAUAACCCCGGGAAACCGGGGCUAAUACCGGAUAAUACUUUUCGUUGCAUAACGAGAAGUUGAAAGGCGGCUUUUAGCUGUCACUUACAGAUGGGCCCGCGGCGCAUUAGCUAGUUGGUAAGGUAACGGCUUACCAAGGCGACGAUGCGUAGCCGACCUGAGAGGGUGAUCGGCCACACUGGGACUGAGACACGGCCCAGACUCCUACGGGAGGCAGCAGUAGGGAAUCUUCCGCAAUGGACGAAAGUCUGACGGAGCAACGCCGCGUGAGUGAUGAAGGUUUUCGGAUCGUAAAACUCUGUUGUCAGGGAAGAACAAGUGCCGUUCAAAUAGGGCGGCACCUUGACGGUACCUGACCAGAAAGCCCCGGCUAACUACGUGCCAGCAGCCGCGGUAAUACGUAGGGGGCAAGCGUUGUCCGGAAUUAUUGGGCGUAAAGCGCGCGCAGGCGGUCCUUUAAGUCUGAUGUGAAAGCCCACGGCUUAACCGUGGAGGGCCAUUGGAAACUGGAGGACUUGAGUACAGAAGAGGAGAGUGGAAUUCCACGUGUAGCGGUGAAAUGCGUAGAGAUGUGGAGGAACACCAGUGGCGAAGGCGACUCUCUGGUCUGUAACUGACGCUGAGGUGCGAAAGCGUGGGGAGCGAACAGGAUUAGAUACCCUGGUAGUCCACGCCGUAAACGAUGAGUGCUAGGUGUUAGGGGGUUUCCGCC
Molecule: ribosomal RNA, 782 nt
Filed under: Virgibacillus sp.
Lineage: Bacteria; Bacillati; Bacillota; Bacilli; Caryophanales; Bacillaceae
Description: bacterial SSU rRNA
Rfam family: Bacterial small subunit ribosomal RNA
Source: RNAcentral